This 1478-nucleotide long non-coding RNA is filed under the name Agrilus planipennis (emerald ash borer). RNAcentral describes it as "uncharacterized LOC112904338, transcript variant X4". The record is from RNAcentral. Lineage: Eukaryota; Metazoa; Arthropoda; Insecta; Coleoptera; Buprestidae.
UGUAGCGUUUGAUGGAUUUCCGAUCACCGCUGCUUACAUUUUUUUCGGUGUGAACAACAUCGGUAGCGUCCUGAUUUCGUACUGUUAACGUGGGUAUCCAUCUUACCGGACCACUCAUCUAUUGUGAAUUUUUAUAGAUUAGUAGUUUAUUUGAGAUCGAAUAAUUGGGAUUUUGUUAGAAUUUUUAAAUUUUGAAAACAGUUUUAGGCAAUGAUUGUAGAUUUUUUCUUAUUGGUGUGUUCACGUCCUGAUGAAUUGCCUUUGUUUUGUAGCCAAAAUAUGUAAAAUAUUCACAAAAAUUUUUCGUUUGCUUUCUUAUUGUAGAGAUGGGGUUUUAACGACGGUUUUUUUUUUCUAUAAUACAGGCUUUGAUGAUAACAUUCUUGGAUUACCUAUAUGGACAAACUACUUGCAGAUGUUAUCUGUGGCAGUUAAAUUUACUUUUAUUUCCAAAAAUACUUCUGAUGAGAUGGUCGAAAAAUCCAUACGCAUAGGAUGUUAACAAUGGUUAAACAUAAUAAAUGAACACAGAGGGUAAAUCAGAAGGAGUCGAAAUGUGAAGAAACAGAGCCCCACUCACACUUCUUUCUCUUGGACUUAGGAUGGAGUCAUUUGCAGAGAGGGUUAUCAUUUAAACUUAUUAAAUGAACAAGAAGACAAAGAAUAAGGAAGAAUAAACGUGGAGAAGUGGAACCCCGUUAAUGUUCCGUCCUCUUAGACUUGAAAAGUGCAAUUUUUAGAGAACAAAUGAAGCUCAAUUCACAUUGAUGUAUUUAAGAAUAAAACUUGAGCACAGUACAAUUAUCCUGGAGGUAAGUAAUUGCUUUAUUUGUUUAUUUUGGUGGUACUUCAUUUUCAUAGUAAUUUGCCAUGCCUGGCAUCUAUGGUUUUUGUUCUCUUACAGUUAUCUAUUGCCCACAUCUACGAUUUUCUUCAAUCAAUUAUCUAUUGUGUACAAGCAUCUAUGGUUAUUUCUAUUGCCUUUAAGAUUUAUCAUUAUCUAUGGAUUUAUCUGUCUUGAAUAAAAUUGACAGCACAUCGCCAUUUUAUAAUUUCAUUGUCCAAAUGGCGAGAAAGAGAGAAUUAAAGUUCAGAUUGAUGGUAUUCAAACAGCCAUUGUCUUGUCUUGAUUUGCUGUUUUCGUCUUCAACUUGCAACAUUAAAUUUUCGACAGAUGAGUGAGAGCCAGACGAGAUUUAUAUGAAUUUCACUGGAACAAGUUUUCUGCUACGAUAUUCCUUCUGGAUUUAGUUUGCUUUUCACAAAUCCAAACUUGGGAAGUUUACAAUAGUCUUAUGUUUGCUAAGGUGAGAGUAUUUAAUAUAAUUAAUAUUAAUUGCUCUUUAUUAAUCUGUUACCACCGUAUCUGUUUCAGAUCGACGCUGGAGAAGACAGAAGACCCUGUAGUUAAAAUAGUUCUUUUGUUUUGCAUGCUCUACCUAAUUAAAAUAAUUCUUUUAGUGCAAAUUCAGAUUAAU